GCUUAUGGCCACACCGCCUGGUUCACGUCCGAUCUCGUUUGAUCUCGGAAGCUAAAAUAGGUUGGGCCUGGUUAGGUACUUGCAUGGGGAGACUGCCUGGGAAUACCAGGUGCUGUAAGCU
This 121-nucleotide ribosomal RNA is filed under the name Scophthalmus maximus (turbot). The record is from RNAcentral. Lineage: Eukaryota; Metazoa; Chordata; Actinopteri; Pleuronectiformes; Scophthalmidae.